UGUGGCUCAGUGGUAGAGCACUUGCCUGGCAUGUAUGAGGCCCUGGGUUCGAUCCUCAGCA
This 61-nucleotide transfer RNA is filed under the name Marmota marmota marmota (Alpine marmot). It matches the Rfam family "tRNA", at positions 6 to 65 of the family's 71-position model. Rfam says of the family: Transfer RNA (tRNA) molecules are approximately 80 nucleotides in length. Their secondary structure includes four short double-helical elements and three loops (D, anti-codon, and T loops). The record is from Rfam by way of RNAcentral. RNAcentral also lists the same sequence under 4 other names. Lineage: Eukaryota; Metazoa; Chordata; Mammalia; Rodentia; Sciuridae.